GGUUGAUGCGGGAGGACGCAGCACCUGAUGCCAUGAGAGCAUUUGGAUUUGAGGAGCGUGUUAUCAAGGAACUGCUAGAGUUGUAUGGUGAGGGGGGAUGGUUUCUGAUCGAAGAGUUUAGUUACUCGGUGCUUCUAAAUAAAUGUCUUGAAAAGCAAGGAGAGCAAGACAAUCAUGUGGCUGAACAAGAAGAACAAGAAGAAAUGGCUGAGGAACAAAACCUAGAGAUGGCUCAGGAAGAAGAAACAGAAGAAGUAUAGGAGGAUCAGCAUCUUGAGGAUGUAAGAGACAAUAUUGGUAGCAAUUCAACAACUUUAGUGGGAUGUGGUACUGAGACAGAUACACAGACUUGCCAAACUGAUGCUUUGUCGAUCUCUAGCGAGACAGAGAUCAUGGACUCAUCACCAUCACCUUUUCCAUCGGGAGAAGUAGAAGAUUAUGAAUCACCAAAAGCUUUUCAGUCAUCGGAUUAUGCACACCAUUCUGUUGGAGGUGACUAAGUAACAAACUCAUAGCGAUAAACAUCACAAACACUUGAAUAAUUCUUCCUAGUGUUGUAAUUAUCGUU
Long non-coding RNA from Raphanus sativus (radish), 568 nucleotides. RefSeq lists it as uncharacterized. The record is from RefSeq and is a predicted model, not a curated record. The transcript has 3 exons. NCBI's taxonomy places the organism in Eukaryota, Viridiplantae, Streptophyta, Magnoliopsida, Brassicales, Brassicaceae.